UCUUGUGAACGAGUUUGUAGCAGACAAACCUACAGUUCCUUAGUGCAGCGAUAAAAGCGUGUACGUAUUGUGACCUAUUUUACUGAAGCAAGACACUGUGGUAGAGAUAAAUGGAGAAGGACUUGAGCAAUUAUGUAUGUUAUUACUCAUGCCUUGUGCUAGGAUUAUUUGCCUCGCAAAUAAUACAAUCAUAAAGGAAUAAGAUCUUUUAGUAUCCUAAAUAUUGUUGAGAAUUAAUGAGUCUCACAUUGAUGGAAGCAGGGACCUUGCAUGGGCUUAUAAGUAAGAUGAGCUAUUUCCCAUAUUGCCAAUUAGUUUUAUGGUGGAAUCUCAACUUUCUUUAUUGUAUCAGAGCAGGUUGUCCCACGUAUGAAGCCAAAUAGCCACACUCGCUUCACGUACCCCGUUGUGUUGUUCACGGGCCACACGCGCUCUACGUACCCCGUUGUGUUGUUCAUAGGAUAUGCUUGAAAAUUCACCAUACAUAAAAUAGUGUGUUGAGAAUGAGUCCCACAUUGAUGGGAGCAAGGACCUUACAUAAAAUGGUGUGUUGAGAAUGAGUCCCACAUUGAUGGGAGCAAGGACCUUACAUGAGCUACUCCCCAUAUUGACAAUUAGUUUUAUGGUAGAAUCCCAACUUUUUUUCAAAUACAAUUGAUGACAUGUCAUUUGAUUUGUAAAUUUGGUUUAAAAAUUUGGCUCCCUUGCAUUAUUCAUAUCACAAUAUAAGGGAGUGCUGGCGAGUGAAAAACUGAAAGGGUUGAAAUCUAGGGCAGUUAAAAAAGCUGUAAUUCAUAUUUCACCACCAUACUCCCCUAACA
This 821-nucleotide long non-coding RNA is filed under the name Malus domestica (apple). RNAcentral's name for it is "long non-coding RNA (MDOM_LNC005406)". Lineage: Eukaryota; Viridiplantae; Streptophyta; Magnoliopsida; Rosales; Rosaceae. The record is from RNAcentral.